GGAGGAAUAUUGGACAAUGGGCGCAAGCCUGAUCCAGCCAUGCCGCGUGAGUGAUGAAGGCCUUAGGGUUGUAAAACUCUUUUAGUGGGGAAAAUAAUGAUGGUACCCACAGAAAAAGCUCCGGCUAACUUCGUGCCAGCAGCCGCGGUAAUACGAAGGGAGCUAGCGUUACUCGGAAUCACUGGGCGUAAAGCGCAUGUAGGCGGAACUACAAGUCAGGGGUGAAAUCCCAAGGCUCAACCUUGGAAUU
RNAcentral lists this ribosomal RNA (250 nucleotides) under uncultured bacterium. Its description in RNAcentral is "partial 16S ribosomal RNA". It matches the Rfam family "Bacterial small subunit ribosomal RNA", at positions 355 to 622 of the family's 1533-position model. The record is from RNAcentral.